GACAGAUUGCUUGGGCGCAGGGCAGUCAGUCCUGCCUAGAAUAUGGGGCAAGUGUAGAGAACAAUAAAGCGCAGCCGCUCCGUGUCAAAGCCCCAAAGAUCCCGCAGAAAUGAUGAGCUCCAUGCCAUUCUAGGGGGUGCCCCUGCAACAACCCCACCGUUGCUUCCCUCCUCCCCCAACCCUCCUGGGCUACCGUGGCAGUGUCCCCUCACUUAUGGGAUGAAGUAAUAAGAAAUGCAGCAAUAAGAAACACUGACUAUUUAGUGAGAUAAAACGAGGGGGAGGGAGCCUCCGACUGCUAUGAUAGUCCAGGGAGUACAGAAUAUUUUCUUUAGACAU
Molecule: non-coding RNA, 339 nt
Organism: Chelonoidis abingdonii (Abingdon island giant tortoise)
Lineage: Eukaryota; Metazoa; Chordata; Testudines; Testudinidae
Source: RefSeq, a predicted model, not a curated record